AUUUUGGAGGAAGAGGGUUCUGGUGGUGUCAGUGUAAAGGCCAUCGAAUUACGCCAGGAAAAAAUGGGUUCCCAAAAUCUGGGAGUUCAUGCUGACAAUAGUGACAGUGGUUUAACUAAUUUUAACAAUGCUAAUAAGGUACACAGGAAGGUUAGUUUGUCCAAAGAUCCUAGGUCUCAGGCUCGAGAUGUAUUAGUUCCUAGAGAUGACCUUGAUGUUCAUGCCAAUGGAGAUUUGGGGCCUGAACAUCGUAAAUCAGGCAAGAAACAACAUGGGGAAUUGGGCUGUUCUAAAGGAAGCCACAAGCGAAAGAGUUACCAUGAUGUUGAUACACCUGAGGGUGAUGAAAGUAAAUUAAGCGAUUGGGGGAAAUCAGCAUCUUCUGAAAGUGGGGGGGAUAAAUACAAGACUGUGACAGGCUCUGCAUCUCAUGAUAGGUACUAUGAUGAGGUUGUUGCUAGGAGUAGAUCAUUGUCAUGUGAUUUUGCUAGGGAGCGAUCUCAUUCUCAUAGCAUAGUAGAAGAGGAUGUUCUUUCAAAGAAAGGGCGACACAAUGGAAGGGAUGAGAAUGAUUCUGAUGAUGAAAGAAUGUCUCGACAUGAUAGGGGUCUACAGCGUGGUAGUAAAGAUUUGGAGAGGGAGCACAGUACCAGUUACAACAGAAGGCUAGGAGGUGGGGACAAGCAUAGCAGCAGGGAUGCAUGUGGCAGAGAGGUGAACAGGGAGAAGGAGACGGACUGGGAACGGAGAAGGGAUCUGGA
This 761-nucleotide unclassified non-coding RNA is filed under the name Hevea brasiliensis (rubber tree). Lineage: Eukaryota; Viridiplantae; Streptophyta; Magnoliopsida; Malpighiales; Euphorbiaceae. The record is from RNAcentral.